GAGCAGCAACAUGCAGAGGUCUGUGAAGACAAACAAACCUGGUUAUAGACUAAGCCUACAAACAAGAUACGAAAUAAUAUUUUAGGAAUGAAGUGCCCAUCUAUAUUGACAACCACACUAUGUAUAUAUCCCUUAUUUCUUCUGUUCCUUAACUUCUUAUAGAAUGUAAAAAGUAAAGAAAAAUAAAAUUAUUUUCCUUUAUUUAAAAGUAAAAAAAGGAAAAAUUUAAAGCUGCAUACUCAUUCCUCUCAACAGCAAAGAACAUUUCUGCAACAAAAAGUAUGUACUAGUAAAACUAGUUCCUUUUUAUGACAUGACAUUGUGAGGGAAUAACUCUUAAUCUGGCAUGCUUUAUUAUAACAAAAAUAUUAAAAAGAACUUGUUAAAAGGAUGGCAACAAAUGUUCCCCUUUCCACUUUAGUAUUAUUAUAGCAGCUAGUUGUGUCCAUAAUUAAAAUAAUUAAUCUUUCACUGCAAUCUGAAAGUAGAUUGCAGCACAUCGGAGGAAUUAUGCAGGUCACUGGCAAUAGUCUUUUAUUAGAGUACCACUAGCAGGAUGCUAAUCAUAGUCUAUUAUAUAAAAUAGUUUAAAUCAAUGUUCCCUCUAAUUUUUUACAUCCAUGUGCAGAAUUAAUUUUGUUAUGUUCACCAAUAUGGAGGUUGGGAGGUAUGGGGUGGGACCGAGGGGUUUGGAGUGUGGAGAGGGGCUCAGGGCUGGGGCAGAGGGUUGGGGUUCAGGCCCUACCACUUGAAUUCAAGUGGUUUGCAUGUGAGGUGCUGAGUCAGCAUACCUCGGUUAUGUAGAGUGGGAUAUUUUUCAAAAGCAGUCAGCAUUGGCUUAACUCUGCUCCCACUGAAGUUCUCCCACUGACUCCAGUGAAGGAGAGGUAAGCAAACACUAAGUGCUUCUGGAAAUCCCAUCCAGAAACUUUAAUCUUUACUUCCUCAAAUGCAGGUCUACUAACACAAAUGGGAGUAAUUAUAAUUUUAAAAGAACUCUCUCAUACCUCCCACACUGAAGCUGAUCAUAAAAAACACCCCAACACUGGUGUUUGCUUUUUAAGUCUUUAAAGAUAUCUGUAUAGAAGUUCAUAACAUUUGCUGUUACUUUAAACUAGCUUAUCCUACCAAAUCUUUCUUCUUCUAUUUGAAAACACAGCUGUGUGCUAUCACCUGCUCUUCCUAAUGAAACUACAUUUUAUCAAAGGUUCUCUGUUAACAGCUUGCUUGAUUGGGCAUUCAUACUUUUGAUGUCAGGAUGUGCUCAGGGACGGAGCAUUGCUGACGUAAAACCAGCAGAGGGAGCUAAAUUACUUUUCAGGGUAGUGUAAACCUGGCAAUAGGUUUUUACUACAGCUGGUCAAAAUUUUGCACACAAAAAUUUGGAACUCCUUUUCUCUUGAAAUUUUGACAAACAGGAAUAAAAUUGUGCAGAAAUUCUCAGUUUCUCCCCUCCCCAUCCCCAAAUGUUUUUUUACUGGCUUGUUGCAUGCCUUUGGUCCGUGAUGGUAUAUGGAAUUUUGCUUAAUUAUUUAAUAGAAAUCUUUAAGACAGAGUACAUUCCCAACCAAAUUUAAGGUACCACAGAUUUUUGUGCUACACUAUUUGAUGAUAUUGUUAUAGUUGAAAGCUUUGCAUUAGAAGUAGUCACUUAAAGUACACAUACUCUCUGUACUGGUAAAAAGUGGCAAUAGUAGUUGCAAUUAAACUGCAGCCAGUGAUACAAAACUAUAUAAACCUUGCUGAGUACACUCUUUUGCACUCCCGGUUCUUUUCUUUGUAAUUAGUGAUUUUAAAUAGGUUCUAAUCUUUUAACCAUUAGUAACCCCAGUACCCUUUCCCAGGAUUGUGGUAGUCUUAAGAGCCAAGUUUUAACCUGACUUACUUACUGUGAAACUAGUUAAAGUGAAUGCAUUGCAGCAGGGGGGAAAGCACCUCUCCCCCGCCACAGCAGCUCCGGGACUGGGGCCGUGGGAGAAGCGCCUCUCCCCUGCUGCAGCCCUGUAUGCCCCAAGUAACUUGCUCCCCACCCUACUCCCUACCUCUGCGCGGCCUUUGGUACCCAGAGCUUAGAGGGAACUUAGGUUGAAAUACUAAUGCCUUUCUUUUAGAUUGGUUUCUGAAAGCCAGAAGUUAAUCUAAGAUCUCCAACUGUCUCUGCAGAUAGAAUAAUUUCCUCAAAAUACAAGGCACGAAGUGGCAAAAAAACACACAGCACAACGAUUUAAUUAUUUACUCAAAACCUUCAACUAUUAGAUGUAACUUUAAAUUUUCAAGGCACAUCCAUCAGGCAAAGCGGACAGAUUUACCUCCAACAUUAUAAAUGCAUCCUCUUUUAAAGCAUCAGUCGAAGAGGAGUGGUAAUCUAAAUUUAUCUAAUUGAUUUUAAAAAGAAACCACAACAGGGCACACAGUAUAGCCAAUAACUUUGGUAGAUCACUUCAGUUCUAUAUUGACUUUCAUUUAUUAUGACGUUUGUAAAAAUCCCUAAAUUAAUCUCACCACACAGAAAUAAAGCUCAUAGUGUGCGGGCAGAAGGGAAAGAAGAGGUUACACACUUUGUGCAGUAACUGUGGUUCUUCAUGUGUCCCCUGAGGGAUGGCUCCACUUCACAUGCACAUGCACCUCUCGAGCCCUUGGUUGGAGAUUUUCAGUUAGUGUCUAUCUGGCCCACACAUAUGCCUUAAUGCUUCCUCAUGUUUAAUACCGAGGCUGUAUAGGGAUGCCUGGGCAAACCACCCUCAGCUCCUUCUCCACCUAAAUGUCCUGUAAGGAACAGUCUGAAGCAGAGGGGAAGGAGAGCACCUAUAGGGACACACGUCUUGAAGAACUGCAAUUACUGCACCAAGUGAGUAGCGUGUCUAUGGGUGCUCCACUUCAGAUGAUUUCCAAGCAGUAUUCCCAGAUGGAGGAGGGAGCUUUAGAAUAGAGUCCAGAACUGAAGACAGUACUGCAGAACAAAGUGCUGCAUUGGAUCUGGCAACAUGGAUCAGGGCAUAAUGUUUCAAAAAUGUACAUGUAGUGGCCCUAUAUAAUUCAGAUAUUGCUAUAUUCUUCAAUAAUGCUGUAGAUGCUGCCUAAGAUCUAGUUGAAUGUGUUAUCACCCUUUCAGUGGUAGUGGUGGUGGGGGGAAGUGGAUGAAUGCCUGCAACAUCAUGACAAGUAAUACAUCCACAUAUGCAUCUUGAUAAUCUCGAAGUAGAGACUGAGGACCCCGUGGAUCCAUCCAUGAAGGAAAUGAAGAGCUUAUAUGGAUUUCCUAAAUUGCUUGGUCCUAUCGAAGUAGAAAGCCAAUGCCCUUCUAACAUCCAAGCUCCAACAGAUAAUCAAAGCAGCACCAAAUCAGGCAAGAGGCAACAAUACCACCAAUGGAAGACUCUCUUCCAUUGCUACAGGUAAGUAGUGCAGGUUGAUCGUUCUUUAGUAUUCAGAAUUGCCUGUUGUACUUCUAUAGAGCAGGAGGAUUCUCUAUGACCCAUCAAGGAGCCAUGCCCUGAGGCGGAGAAUUGCUAGGUUGGGAUGAAGCAUACAACCAGUAUCAUGUGACAGUAGGUGAGGAAUAGCUGGGAGCCAAGACAACAGUUGGACACAUAUGUGAAGCAGGUAAGGGUACCAAGCUUGUUUUGGCCAUGUUGGUUCUGCCCUGUCUGAUCUUGUUCAUCACCAUCAGUAGUAGCAGUGUUUGAGGAAAUGCAUACAGACCCUUCUUCCAAGAUAGAAGAAAGGCAUCUCCCUAGGAGUGGUGGCCCAGACCCCCUCUAGAGCAGAAAACAGCACACUUAUUGUUACUGGAGGUGGCAAAUAGAUCCACUUCUGGCAGUCCCCAUUUUAGGAAUAUUCUGUGGAGACCUUGGGUAUCUAGCUUCCAUUCCUAAUCCUGUGAGAAGUGUCUGCUGAGGACAUCAGCUGUGGUGUUCUGAAUACCUGGGAGGUAGACUGGUGAAAUUUGGAUCUGAUGAGCUAUGUGCCAAUUCCACAGUUUCACGACUUUGCUGCACAGGGAGGAGUAUCAGGGUGAUUUCUUGAGUUGUUCACGUGGCCUGAGUUGUGAGGGUAUUGAGGAAGGCUCCCCAUCCCAACAGUGAUGUAUCUGUUGUUAAAGUCACUGAUGGGGCUGGGCAACAGAAAGGAACACCUUCAUAGACAUUGAGUUGAUCCUUCUACCAAUCUGAAGAGUCCCUCACUUGCAGAGGAACCAUCAACUGUCUGUCCAAGAUGUGUUUGAUUGGAUAAUAUGCUGCUUUGAGCCAACUCUGGAAGCAAUGUAAAGGUAGCCUUGUGUGAUUUGUCAAAAAGGUGCAAGUUGCCACAUGUCCCAGGACCUGAAGUCCAUUCCUUAUUGUGGUCCAAGGGCUCCCCUGAACUGCCCAUUCAGACAUGACAAAGUUAAGAAGCUGUCUAAAGGAAGAUGGGUUCUGGCUGUCAAUGAGUCCAAAUAUGCCCCUAAAAACUCUUCUGUACAGGGGUUAGAUGUGGACGUUUUUCCAUUCAGCUAUAGAUCCAACUCUGGACCACCGCAAGGACCAUCUGGGUAGAGGACAGCACUGCUUCGUAGGAACGGCCCUUGAGUAGCCAGUUGUCAAGGUAUGGGAAGAAUAGGAUUGCUUCUUGUCAGAGGUGUACAUAUACCCAAGGAUUAUAAAGUAGCCCUAGACUCCUUUAGAGUAUGCAAGGACUCAUCUGUGGUUUCCAAGAGCAGCUUACAACCAUUGAAGGGGAGGUCCCUCCACGGUGUUCUCUAUUUCUCAGAAAUCCCAAGGGAUGGAGCCAAGAUGCCCUGCACACCACCACCAACACUAUGGGCUGAACGGACAUUGCUAACUGAAAAUCUCCGAUCAAGGGCUUGAGAGGCAUAUGUGCACCGAAGAGGAGCAUCUAUAGGGACACUACUUGAAGAAGAAUUGCACCUAUUGUCUGUAGCUCAAAAUAUUAAAGUUAAAGAAGUAAGAAGCAUUUAACACCAUGAAUAAACUGAAAUCCAUUUGAAAAAGUUAUUUACAAUUUGGGCCUACUUCUGCCAGCAUUCACCCUGCUAAAAAAACUUUACAUAAUUUGUGAUGCACUUGGUUUAAGAACUCAGUAUAAUGGACUGUAAAAUAAGCCUCCAUACCAGUAAAAUAUUUUAAACAUUAAAAUUAUUCAGAUUUUGUGCAGCUCAGUGCAUGACACUUCUUGCCAGUGAGUAAAAGGUCACUGAUUUUUCCUGGAGAUCCACAUCAGCCGUAUGGUUGAUUCAGGUUGUUUGGAAGAAGUUAGAAGAGACUGUCUCCACCCUCCUUAGUGUGUCCCCAUUCUCUUUAUCUUCUUUUGUUCCCCCUUUUGUCUCCCAGGUUGUUUUCUCUCCACCUCUUUCUGCCUCUCAUUAGCCAUGCGCCAGGGCAACCAGCCACUGCCUCAGCUACAUUCUUCUUCUUGCUUAGUGUGUUCCAUGCUGCUUAAGAUCCAAUAUGGUGAGCAGCAAGAGCAGGAGCCUAGCUGUCUAAUUCCCAAAUCAAAGCAGCCCCUAAUUGACAGAAGGUGAUACUGUAAGGAAAUCCCUUGAGCAACAAUUGAAUGAGAGAGAUUCCAACAGGGGAGCAGGAACAAGACAAGGUGGCUAAUACUAAAACAUCCAAGAGUCAUUUAGCAGCCCUGAUAAAUUUUUAUGUUUUCCUCUGAUUGUUAAGGCCUAAUUAAAAGAUUUUAAAAAUCCGUGUGGGUAGGUGUUCUAGGCUGCCAAUAUCACUUAAGAGAAAAUAAAAACAGAAGAAUCAGUUACUAAAAUCUUCCAUCCCAGUUCCAAAUAAAUACAUUUCACAGUUUUAUAGUACGAAAUGCUUCUUACAUUUGAAUUUCCCUAUAACCGGGCUCAAAAAAUAGAGUUCUGAGAUAAAAGUUUUUAGACGUAAUGUUAGCUAGAAAAUACCCGAUUGCCACAUUGUUUUAAUAAAAGUAAACAAAAAGUACUCUCCAGCUAGCAUUUUCAUAAUUAGUUAACUCACCUGCUUUUUUUUUUAAAACAGCAAAUCAGACAUUUGUAGCAAUCAUUGGAAUUAACUACUAUUUAAUUUUUAAUAGAAAAAGCUGAAUAGUGGUUAUAAAGAAGUAACAUCACAAGACUACUGUCCUCCAGAUCAUCUCAGGAUUAGUGUCAUUCCUGGUAGAAUUCUUUUAGCCAUGAUGACCUAAGAUUUUUCCAGCAUCCCUUUCUCUUAUUCAGAUGGAAACCUGAACACUUAAAAAUGUUUAUAUAAUUAUUAGCUUUACUAACAGCAGAAAUAUAUUGAAAAUCCAACUGUAAAAUACUGUUCAGUGGCCAUACAUACGUUUGCAAGGCUGCAUUGGUGGCAUUGAUGAGGUUUCUAUCCGUAAUUUUCUCCAGUAUUAACAAGGCACUAGUUUCAUGACCCUAAAUAUACAGGAAACAUGGUUGUCAGAUAACACACUCAUUGAAGAAAUUGUUUUGUAUGUCUUUUUGAAGUAGUUUCUGGAGAUUUUACAGUUUGACAAAGAUCAUAUUUUAAAAAAUAGUUUUUCAUUAACAAACAAACAUGCAAAAAAGAGCUCAAAUAGAAACUGACACACCUUGCUGCAAGCCAAAUGGAGUGCUGUGUUUUUACUGCUAUCUUGCAAGGUCAGAUCAGCCUUAGCACUGCUAACCAGCACCUCUGAAGGAAAUAAAACUUUGCAUUAACUAAAAAGUGUGUUUCUAAAGGAAUUAUCUAUUUUCCACUUUAUAAAAUGAAGAUUAAAACCUAAAAUAAUACACUUUUAAUAAAUGUGUGAAUGCAUAACAUGUUAUUUUAAAACAACAUCUAUAGUAGAAUAUUACUGUACAUUAUUAAAAGUUAAAGUAGAAGAUAUUUAAGCUCUCUCUUUACCA
Molecule: non-coding RNA, 6862 nt
Organism: Chrysemys picta bellii (western painted turtle)
Lineage: Eukaryota; Metazoa; Chordata; Testudines; Emydidae
Source: RefSeq, a predicted model, not a curated record